GAUGAACGCUGGCGGCGUGCCUAACACAUGCAAGUCGAACGGAGAUAGAGAGAAGUUUUCGGACAGACCUUUAUCUUAGUGGCGGACGGGCGAGUAACGCGUGGAUAACCUGCCUCUUUCUGGGGGAUAGCAGUUGGAAACGACUGAUAAUACCGCAUAAGUUCCUUUAAGCGCAUGCUUAGAGGAAGAAAGAUUUAUCGGGAAGAGAUGGAUCCGCGUCUGAUUAGCCAGUUGGCGGGGUAACGGCCCACCAAGGCGACGAUCAGUAGGGGUUCUGAGAGGAAGGUCCCCACAUUGGAACUGAGACACGGUCCAAACUCC
RNAcentral lists this ribosomal RNA (321 nucleotides) under uncultured Butyrivibrio sp. Its description in RNAcentral is "bacterial SSU rRNA". It matches the Rfam family "Bacterial small subunit ribosomal RNA", at positions 28 to 339 of the family's 1533-position model. The record is from RNAcentral. Lineage: Bacteria; Bacillati; Bacillota; Clostridia; Lachnospirales; Lachnospiraceae.